CGGCUGUAAGACUGGUGACUAAACUUUCACUUGGCGAUUUCCGCAAGUUCCUUCUGGAGACGGCUCAGUUGCUGGAACCUGCUUCAGUUUUCUCUGCCGGUCGUUGUGAUGCCACUCCUCCAUUUCAGCUGUCGCAGGGAAGAAAAUCCUCAACUUUGACCUCUGCUCACGUCCAGUGCAGUCAAUUCUGCCUGUCUCCUACCUCCAGAAAUAUGUUUUCUGAUUUAUAACGCCCUGCCAUGAAAAUCGUACUUCCGAGGAACGAAAGGCGCCGAGACGCCACGAAUUCUGCCAGGAAGAAUAACAUUUCAAGAGUCGUUGAAAAAGAGGAACAACCUUGCUGACGUCAUUGUAAGAGUACUACGAACUACUUCAAGGCAGAUGGACACCAUCCGGCAACGUGAUCAGCGCAAGGACAGGUCUACUGAAAAAGAAUUGAGAUGGCAUCUCACCCUACCAAACCCUGGUCAGAACAAUCCUGCGGAUUGCAGAUCAUCUGCAGUGGGGUUGUGGGCCGUCAGGAGACCGUGGACCGCAGUUUGCAUUCUCCAUGUUGAGAUUCAUCCUGUCUAAGAUCUGAGGUUAUCAUGACAAUGAAGAUUUAUAAUGCAGUCUUCUGGGCUACGACACCAUGUAAUCUGUUUGCAGGUACAUUGAGCUAGCGAGUCCUGUCAGAUGGAAUUGGAGAAAAUCACGAGAGAUGAAAGAAUUGCGCGCGAAAACCAGAAGGAAAAAUGGCGUGAGAAUAAUCAGUGAAAGCGAAGAACAUAGUGGACCGACUGAAACGCAUGGUUAAUAACAGUUAGACUUGUUACAUGUAUACAUUGACUGCAGCAUUAUUCUUCGUCUACCUGGAAAACACAUUACUGCAAAACACCACGAGGACUAAAGGAACACUGCAGAGAAUAGUUACUGGAUGACAAAUUGUCAACAGAAGAGAGGUGAUGCACCAGAAAUCUUUUGCUCUGUCCUGCUUUAGCCAGUGAAGGAUGCCAGUCCAUGUGGAAACAGUUCGAGUUAACAGUCAAGGAAAUGUUAUUUCUCUCACAAACGCACUUGUCUAAAUCAUUAAGGACUGUCCACACGUAAUGAGUGUUAAAGAGUACCGACUUGGAGGGGCACUGAUGCUGCAGUUGGUGGUUGGACAGCCAGGUAAUGUAAGAGUUCAUUAGAAACUUGUGAAUACAUACAAGGGAUAAGAAGAAGGUGCGAAAUAAUCACCCACCAAACAUGGGCAAUUUGGAAGCAUAGCCAGACGUACAUAUUACAUUGUGAUGGAGAGAAUUUCAGAACUGUGUUUGUCUCACACGAACUAAUGCGUCAUUCAUUGUUACACCCCCUCGCCAC
This is a long non-coding RNA of Cryptotermes secundus, 1347 nucleotides long. RefSeq lists it as uncharacterized. NCBI's taxonomy places the organism in Eukaryota, Metazoa, Arthropoda, Insecta, Blattodea, Kalotermitidae. The record is from RefSeq and is a predicted model, not a curated record. The transcript has 8 exons.